Molecule: long non-coding RNA, 944 nt
Organism: Mauremys reevesii (Reeves's turtle)
Lineage: Eukaryota; Metazoa; Chordata; Testudines; Geoemydidae
Exons: 4
Source: RefSeq, a predicted model, not a curated record
GCCGCCGGCGGGGACCCGAAGAGAGAGUCACGCAGCGGCGCCCCGCCCCCUCCCGCCAGGUCACGUGGGGCCACAAGCCGAAAGCAGGAGGCCGCAUGCGCCAAGCGGCCAGAGGUCGGGGCUGCGCGAAAAAUAUUCCAGAAGACUUCAGGCGGAGGGGAAACUUCAGCCCAAAGGGUUAUAUUUUGAUUAUCUCAGUUGGGUUCUUCCUACACCUCCAUGCAAAACAUAACAUGGAACUCUGAUAGCAAAAGCUAAAAAAUUGAUUGUGCAGAAAAGAGAAAUGCACAGUCCAAUCCUGCAAAAAGUGUGUGACUGAAGUUUGAGAAAGUGGGAAUGGUUAAAAAAAAAACCCACCUCAUUUCUGCGUCACCAAAACAAAAUGAAGUGUUCCCACUUAAAUAUUUGAUGUAUCUAUCGAAAAAGAAUACCUACUUAUAUCUAUAACCUGUAUCCUCCUUCACCUUUCUGCUGCAUGUUAGAUUAAUGUCAAGUCCAGCAUUUGGACUGUAAACUUUUUGGGGGUAGAAAGCUGUCUUCUGUGUGUUUUCCCACUUAACCCAUCUGUGUACACUAUGAAAUAUCAUCUCCACAGCUGUAGGGAGAAGAAAGAGGUGAGAAUGGGGAAGGCUGAAGUUUAAUGGGUUAAUGAAGAGGAUAGAUUUUUGAUAUAUCGCAGAAGGGUAGCAUUCACUGAAAACAUUUGGUAUAUACUUCUAAAGAUUAUUUAAUUUCAAAAGAGGAUUUUGCAACAAAAAAAGAACAUAGCUAAUAGCUGUUGGAACUCCUUUCUCUUCACUGAAAGCAUUUAUGUUUUGAAAGCAAAGGUGCUCAGCUGCAAAAAUACACAGCCCUGACAUGCCCCUGAAUUUAUGAAAAAUCUCUCCUGUAUUUAGUUACACUUAUGAAGGUUUUUAAUCCAAUCCAAAACUGUUUGGUUGUGU